UAAAUGAGGUCACGUAUGUGAGAUUUUCAGCAGAGAAUUUAUCAUAUAAUACAAGAUCAGUGAAUAUUGAUGAGGGUGAUGGAAAUGAAAAGGAUGAUGAUAAUGAUGACUUCAGAGAGGAAGAAGAUGACAGAGAAAAAAGAGAAUAUUAAAAUGGAGCAGGAGGAAUAGUUGGAGGAAAAAGAGAGUAGAGGAAAAAAUAAAAUUUAUAUUUUUGUAAAAUCUUUAUGCCCUUUAAAAUGAAUUAGAUGAAUGGAAUAGAGGAGGUAGAGGAGGGGGAAAGAAUAGAAAUUUGUGAUGAUCGGGAGCAAAUCUAAGACAAUAGAAGAAAAAACGGGGAAAAGAUUGAACUUGUCAGUUUUCAGGGGACUGUUGAUGGAUAAAAUAUCAGAUUUAAAUGAUUGCAUAACGAGGU
Molecule: long non-coding RNA, 415 nt
Filed under: Homo sapiens (human)
Lineage: Eukaryota; Metazoa; Chordata; Mammalia; Primates; Hominidae
Description: HSALNT0081544
Source: RNAcentral